GAAAUGCGAUAAGUAGUGUGAAUUGCAGAAUUCAGUGAAUCAUCGAAUCUUUGAACGCACAUUGCGCCCUUUGGUAUUCCAAAGGGCAUGCCUGUUCGAGCGUCAUUUGUACCCUCAAGCUUUGCUUGGUGUUGGGCGUCUUGUCUCUAGCUUUGCUGGAGACUCGCCUUAAAGUAAUUGGCAGCCGGCCUACUGGUUUCGGAGCGCAGCACAAGUCGCACUCUCUAUCAGCGAAGGUCUAGCAUCCAUUAAGCCUUUUUUCAACUUUUGACCUCGGAUCAGGUAGGGAUACCCGCUGAACUUAAGC
This 307-nucleotide unclassified non-coding RNA is filed under the name plant metagenome. RNAcentral's name for it is "partial contains 5.8S ribosomal RNA, internal transcribed spacer 2, and large subunit ribosomal RNA". The stretch from base 1 to 105 matches the Rfam family "5.8S ribosomal RNA", at positions 50 to 154 of the family's 154-position model. The record is from RNAcentral.